Molecule: ribosomal RNA, 522 nt
Filed under: uncultured eukaryote
Lineage: Eukaryota
Description: bacterial SSU rRNA
Rfam family: Eukaryotic small subunit ribosomal RNA
Source: RNAcentral
GGGCAAGUCUGGUGCCAGCAGCCGCGGUAAUUCCAGCUCCAAUAGCGUAUAUUAAAGUUGUUGCAGUUAAAAGCUCGUAGUUUGAGUGGGGCGUCGCGCACUCGUGUGUGGGACGCUGGCGCACGCCGCGUGUGUAUUUGGUUAUGCGUCGCGGCGUGCGGCGUGUUACUUUGACGAAAGUGGAGUGCUCAGGGCAGACGGUGUGUCUGUACAUUUUAGCAUGGGAUAACGGGAGACGGCCUCUCUUUGUUGGUUGGGACGGCUGUCGAGCAUCAAUAGGGACAGUUGGGGGCAUUGGUAUUUGCAAGUCAGAGGUGAAAUUCUUGGAUUUUGCAAAGACCAACCGGUGCGAAAGCAUUUGCCAAGGAUGUUCCCGUUGAUCAAGAACGAAAGUUAGGGGAUCGAAGACGAUUAGAUACCGUCGUAGUCUUAACCGUAAACGAUGCCGACCGGGGAUUGGCCGCACUCGUGAUGAGGCGGCCAGCACCCUGCGAGAAAUCAGAGUUUUUGGGUUCUGGGGGG